This 436-nucleotide long non-coding RNA is filed under the name Triticum aestivum (bread wheat). RNAcentral describes it as "long non-coding RNA (TAES_LNC016767)". Lineage: Eukaryota; Viridiplantae; Streptophyta; Magnoliopsida; Poales; Poaceae. The record is from RNAcentral.
GUUUAAAAAAAUAGGUCCUCAUUCUAAAGGAGUAACUUCUUGAACCAGCAGUAGAUAUUGUGUCGGGAAGGACGAGGAGCAGGAGCAUUGGUUCAGAUUUUCUCUAUUGUCCUUGUGUUUGUUUACUGAUUAUUGGCUUGACAUGAAGAUUGAUCAGGUGCGUGGAUGUCAUGUGCAUGUUCUUCUUAGUUUCAAUACACUUUAACUGGAUUAUACUUCAAGUACUCCGAGUACUUGCUCUUGUGAACUGACAGUAGGUUUUUGUUUGCAUUUUAACCCUUGUUAGUAUGUUUUCCAAGCUACAUGGCCUGUUGCAACGCUCUUCGGAGUCAAACCCUUGGGUGGUGGCGACGGUGAUUACGACGACGGGUUGUGGGCCUACCAGAGGGUGCGGCAGGCGGCAGUGCAAGGCGACUCAUAGCGGGGCGUGGGGCCG